This 332-nucleotide long non-coding RNA is filed under the name Pan troglodytes (chimpanzee). RNAcentral's name for it is "lincRNA". Lineage: Eukaryota; Metazoa; Chordata; Mammalia; Primates; Hominidae. The record is from RNAcentral.
GUGACUCGAAGAAGCCUUCCAAAAAGCUGUGAAAAGGGAGCCCUCCUCUACUACCAAGGUGACUUCAGGGAGCACAUUCAAUGAGAAUACAAGAAGAUAUGCUGUGCACACCAACCAGUGUAGGAGACCUCAUGGCUCCCGGGUAAAGAAGAAGAGGUACCCACAAGAAGAUGACUUCCAUCAUACAGUCUUCAGCAACCUUGAAAGACUGGACAAGCUUCAGCCCACUCUUGAAGCCUCUGAGGAGUCUCUAGUUCACAAGGACAGAGGAGAUGGAGAGAGGCCAGUCAACGCGAGGGUGGUGCAGGUGGCCCCUCUGAGGCGUGAAUCUA